AGAAGUUGGAGCCAUCCCAGGCUGUGAGGUAGCAGGGAGGGGGCUGGCGCAGGCGCUUGUGGGGAAUUUGCACUGUGAAGAGUCGCAGGCCAGCAGGCUGGCCUGGUAGCGGUAAGGUGUGCUGGAAAAGGUGGGUCCAUUUUCUUGCCAGUGCAGCUGUGUCACCAGCUGAUCCUUCUGCCACACAGAGGCCUUAAGGU
Molecule: long non-coding RNA, 200 nt
Filed under: Homo sapiens (human)
Lineage: Eukaryota; Metazoa; Chordata; Mammalia; Primates; Hominidae
Description: HSALNT0029134
Source: RNAcentral